CCCACCCUGCCUGCGUAUUCCCUUCCGUCCUCUUUUCCCUGGACGCGACGACAUCAGCCACAAGUGGUGCGCCUCCAAAAGUCAUCGCAUGGAAUAAUGAUGCCAUCAGAUUAAGAUACCUUUCCUCCCCGACCUCUCUUCCCCCUCUUUAUAAAUGGCCGCCGGAGCGAAAUUCGGCCGCCGACAUUAACGAAUUGCUGCUUACAAAAAUUGGGGGCGAUGGCGACGGCGACGACGACGACGAUAAUUCCUAAUUCUUCAUCGGUCAGGAAGUACACGCACUCCAACUGGACCGUGUAUAUAUAUAUAUAUAUAUAUCUAGAGAGAGAGGGAGACAAAGAUAGAGAGAGAAAGAGACUAAGACUGACAGAAGAGAGUGAGCACACGCAGGCAAUUGUAUGGAGUGCAUACCUUUGUUUAUACGUGUGCUCACUUCUCUUUCUGUCAGCUUCCACUCUCUAUAAUUUCUUGUUUAUCUCAAACCCCCCUUUGAUUUUCAUCCAUAACUCUCUCUCUCUCUCCUCUCCACUCCACUGCACACUGCGCAGAAAAAUUAAAAUAAAGCCACUUGGAAUUUCCCAGAACCAAAAACACAGACAGACAAGCUUAUCCACAGAGUCAAAUAGUGGAUAACUGUGCACUGCACAGUAGGAACACGAUAAGCACUAUUUAUUUCAUUUUUUAUUUUUGAUUUUGCAUUUUCCAUGGUUGUUGUUUGUUACUAUCUUCUUACAACCAUGAGAAUAUAGUAAGGGUUAUCCUGAUUAAUUGGGAAGGAUGGAAGAUGUCUGAAGGAGGAGGAGGCGUUGCUUUUGAUGUUGCUGUCGGAGAGGACGGUUUGGAUUUCCGAAGCUACAGGAACACUUUGUUUCAUUUCCAGUUCUCACCAGGAAAAAUCCGAUGAUUGGGUGGGUUAGAGACAUAAUUAAUUUGGAGGUGAGCGUUUCUGUUGGAGAGGACGACUUCGAUUUCGUGGAGUUACACUGAUUGGGGUGAGCUUCUUAACAGAUUAAUUAUAUCUGUGUACUUUCUUGAUUAUAUAUUUAUUUGAUGUUUUUGGUUUCUCUCCCUAAAACAUAGAACAAUCGUUGUUGUAUUCCCCAUAAAACAAUCGUUGUUUUAUUUGGUGUAAAUCUUUUACAUAAUGCUAUUUUAAUGGUUUAUCGCCUUGAAUUUUGGCUAGUCUAAAAAAAUUGUUUAUUUUGUGUAUAUUUAUUUAUUAUUUAUUCUUUGCUUUUUGUUGAUUAUAAGAAUAUAUGUUGGAGGAAAUGCUAAAAUGGAUGUAUAUAUAUAUUUUUUUACAUGUAGAUUUUUUUUUUUUUUUUUGUUUUUAAUUUGACCUUCACCCAAGCUCAUAAUUUUCGAAUUUUGAUUGUUAUUCUAACGAAUGAAGUUGUUACUUGCAGUGAGCUUCUUUGGUAUGAUUUAUUUUCUUAAAAGUUGGAAUUCCUAAUUUGUGAUCAUAUUUAUUAUUUGGGUGUUUUUAGGUUAGUUUUUUAUUACCUCGUUGAGUUGAGUUUUAUAUUGAAAUGUGUGAUAUUAUGUCGAUACAUUGGUUGGGCAUGUUAUCAUUCUUGUUGUAUCUGAUCUCAAAUUGCAGUUUUGGUGGUUGCGUCUUUUUAUUAGAUUCAUUCAUCUUGUUUGUUCGGAUAAGGUAUAUUUAGGUUUUGUAUUGUUGUAAUUGAAGAUGAUUUCGAAGACUUUCUAUAUUCUAUGUUUUUAUUAGAUCACGGCAGAGUUAGUCAAAGCUUUUUUGUUUUGUUUAUUACUUUUUGGGUGGUGCAAUGUUGUUAGGGAAAAAUGAAAAAAUAUAUGAAAAUUUAUAAUAAUCAUAUUAAAUUUUGAUGUCGCUACUUAUAAAUUUUACACUUUUUUCCUUAAAGUUCCACCAUUAACAUGAUUGGUGGCUUUCGCAACGUGAUCACAUUGUAAAAGGUCUCAAAUUAUUAUCAUACUAAAAUACACGAAGAAAAGAUGUUAUGAACUUAUGAUCAAAUUGUUGACAAUAUGAAGAAUUUAACAAGAUGAUGUUUUUUAGCACCCACAGAUAGGACCAGAACAAAAAUAUUGCCCAAAUCUAACACUUGGGCAGAACCUGUCACUUGCCCAACCCCUGAUGAAAUUUAGAAAUUAGGUAAAUUGAUACUCACAAUCUUCUGUUUAUUGGGAUAAGCAUUUGAAGGAGCAGACGUCAAAG
Molecule: long non-coding RNA, 2197 nt
Organism: Andrographis paniculata
Lineage: Eukaryota; Viridiplantae; Streptophyta; Magnoliopsida; Lamiales; Acanthaceae
Exons: 6
Source: RefSeq, a predicted model, not a curated record